GAAGUGAGUCGGACAAUCGCGCAGAGCAAUCUUCGAGGAAAGUCCGGGCACCAUAGAGCAGAAUGCCAGCUAACGGCUGGGCGGUGGAAGCCGACGGACAGUGCAGCAGAGAGUAGACCGCCGAUGGCGCUUAGGCGUACAGGUAAGGGUGAAAGGGUGCGGUAAGAGCGCACCGCGCAACUGGCAACAGUUUGUGGCAUGGUAAACCCCAUUCGGUGCAAGACCAAAUAGGAAAACAUGAGGAUCGGGCUUGUCCCGGUUCCGCUCUGUUGCUCGCAGGGGUUUUCGGGUAGGUCGCUUGAGGCUGGUAGUGAUGCCAGCCCUAGAUGAAUGGUUGUCGCUCGCAAGAGUACAGAACCCGGCUUAUAGACUCACUUCUUUU
Molecule: RNase P RNA, 382 nt
Filed under: Thiomicrorhabdus sp. 6S3-12
Lineage: Bacteria; Pseudomonadati; Pseudomonadota; Gammaproteobacteria; Thiotrichales; Piscirickettsiaceae
Description: RNase P RNA component class A
Rfam family: Bacterial RNase P class A
About the family: Ribonuclease P (RNase P) is a ubiquitous endoribonuclease, found in archaea, bacteria and eukarya as well as chloroplasts and mitochondria. Its best characterised activity is the generation of mature 5'-ends of tRNAs by cleaving the 5'-leader elements of precursor-tRNAs. Cellular RNase Ps are ribonucleoproteins.
Source: RNAcentral